GCUGAUUGGCCGCCGGGGCUUCAUUCACGGCCCCCCUACCGUCCGCGUACACACUCACGCCCCGGGGGCGCGGCCGCCACGUGGGGAGUGGCGCGGGGGUGGCCCUGGGACCGCACCCCCUCUCGUCCUGGCUGUGUGGGCCCCGCUUUCCCCCAGCGCUGGAGACUCUGAGCCCGGCCGGUCCCACAUUCCACGCGAGCUGAAUUCCCGCCCGCAUCCCGCCCGGGCAGCAGGGAUUGCGGGCUCCGGGAGGCGCUCGGGCUCCGAGAAGCGCUCGGGCUCCGAGAAGCGGCUCAGCCCCGCGCCCCUCCCUCCUCAGUACCGCUGCCGGCGGACCAGGAUUCCCGCGGGUCCUGGCGGCUGCGAGCGCGAGGCGGCGCGGAUUCGCGGCUCGGUUCCGGCGCGACUGCUCACCGCGCCCGCCUCGCCUCCCGCGGCUGCCAGCGUGCACUGGGCGCUCCUCGGCGCGUCUGCCCGGCCCGUCUCGGCUUUCCUUCUCCUUCCUCUAGUCCCAGCGUCACAACUCCGCCGACCUCCUCUGCCCUGAGAGCGCGUCCGGUGCGGGCGGAGUCGGAUGGACUCUGGCUUCACGCCUCGCGCGGGCACACCUUCUCCCGGGCACUGAGGCCCAGUUCUUAGGGGAGGCAGAGUCCUUCUGGAGUUUGACCCUUGGAUUCCAUCCAGAGCAGCCUCCAAAAUGACACCUUUGAAGUUGUGUAUCGAGCUGGGGGAUGUAAAGGGAGGAGAAGAAAGAAGAUGAAGAGAUACCAGCCAGCCUUAAGGAGUGGACAUCCUGCCUGGUGAAACUGAACAAGACACCGACCGCAUAUGGAGUUUCGCUCUGUCGCCCAGGCUGGAGUGCAGUGGUGCCAUCUCGGCUCACCGCAACCUCCACCUCCAGGUUCAAGUGAUUCUCCUGCCUCAGCCUCUCAAGUAGCUGGGAUUACAGGAGCCCUCUCCCACCGCUCCUACACUGCUGGUAAAAGGCAGCCGCACUGCCUGCUGGAAGACCUGCCAGCUUGGGCUUCAGAGCACUUCUGCCUCAGAUCCACGACGAUCCCUUCUGUCAUCGUGGGACCUUUCCUGGGAUUUGAUUUAGGGCGACGCUUCCUCCUGUCUGUGUCCUGAGUCCUGCCUUCCCUGGCUGGUCCUCCUUGCUUAGUCACCCAGAUCAUUCCCAGACAGCUGCGCCCUGGAUAUGGCUCCUCUCAUGUGCUGCCUGGAAAUGUCUCCUCUCUUCUCACCUGCUGAGAGGUCCUUCUGGGCAGGGACUCGGGCAGAUUCAUUCCUGCCUGCCCCACAUUUCCCUAGCCCAGGGCCUGGCCCGUUGCAGUGCUGAAGGAUGAUUCUGGUAAGAAACAAGGUACUCCAGCUCACAUCUUGCAAUGAUUAUGCCUCCCCCACUCUCCCUUCUCCUUGCAGUUCUCUCUCUUCACUGAUGAUUUUGGAUGCAAUUUAAAAUAAAAAUAUUGAUUAAAAAUGGAAACUAUAUAAAUAAAAAUGAAAACACUUAACAUCAAUGUGUCAUUUGAGCUUUAACAUAAAGAGAAAACAUGUGAAGAUGACAAUUUGUGGACAAUUCCAAAUUAGCAUGAAGUUCUCAGCUGGUAAGUAUCUUGACUUUUUUCCCCUCUCUUGGGGUCUGUGGAAUCCUGACCAGGCAUGUGGUGCAGUAGAAUGGGAGGAACUUGGCUUCGGUCUUGAUAAGCCUGGGUUGAAUCUUCCACUUAUGGGCUUUCUGAAGCUCAGUUUCCUUAUCUGUGUAAUGGGGAGAAAGGCCCUACUUCAUGGGGUGAUUGUGAGGCUGAUAGAAAAGGGCACACAGGGGCCAGGCCCAGUGGCUCAUGCCUGCAAUCCCAGCACUUUGGGAGGCCGAGGCAGGAGGAGUUCGAGACCAGCCUGGCCAACAUGGUGAAACCCUGUCUCUACUAAAAAUACAAAAAUUAGCUGGGCAUGGUGGUGGGUGCCUAUAGUCCCAGCUACUCAGGAGGCUGAGGCACGAGAAUUGCUUGAACACAGGAGGCAGAGGUUGUAGUGAGCCAAGACUGCAUCACUGCAUUCCAGCCUGGGCAACAGAGUGAGACUCCAUCUUAAAAAAAAAAAAAAGUCAGGCUGGUCUCGAACUCCUGACCUCAGGUGAUCUGCCCGCCUCGGCCUCCCAAAGUGCUGGGAUUACAGGCAAAACCCUGUCUCUACUAAAAAUACAAAAAUUAGCUGGGCGUAGUGGCAGGUGCCUGUAAUCCCAGCUACUUAGGAGGCUGAGGCAGGAGAAUCGCUUGAACCCAGGAGGUGGAGGUUGCAGUAAGCUGACAUUGCACCAUUGCACUCCAGCCUGGGUGACAGAGCAAGACUCUGUCUCAAAAAAAGGAAAAAAAGAAAGAAAGAAAGAAAAUGGUGCACAAGGCCAGAAGCAGUGCCUUGUGUCUAUCAUUUCACCUUCAGAAUACAGCCAGAGUCCAACCACUCCUUCCACAGACACUGCUAUAGUAGAGGUCCAUGCCCAGUGGUCUAUUCUCUAUGCAGCAGUCACAGUGAUCCUGUUAAUUAGCAUUUAAGUCGUAGCACAUCACUUGUCUGCUCAGAGCCUGCAGUGGUGCGUAUCUCAUUGGGAGUAAAAACCAAGGUCAUCAUAGCAGGCUCAAGGCCUCACAUGGUCAGUCAUCCCUCACCCCAGGGCCCCCAUCCCUGUCUUUACUAUUCUCCCCCAUUGCACUUCCCUCCAGCCCCACUGCCCUCCUGGCUGUUCCUGAACAUGUCGGGCACUCUCCUGCCUCAGGGCCUUUGCACACGCCAUGCCCUUUGCUGGAAUGCUCUUCCCCCAGAUAUCCUCAAGCCUCCCUCCAUCACCCCCUUCAGGUCUUUACCCAAGUGUCCCCUUCUCCGUAAGGAAGACCCUGUUCUUUCUGACUUAUUUUUAUCUGUGGCACUUGUCACCAUCCAGUAUAUAUAUUUUUUGCUGACUGAUUUUCUAUGUUGCUUG
Molecule: long non-coding RNA, 2980 nt
Organism: Pan troglodytes (chimpanzee)
Lineage: Eukaryota; Metazoa; Chordata; Mammalia; Primates; Hominidae
Exons: 5
Source: RefSeq, a predicted model, not a curated record